This 551-nucleotide long non-coding RNA is filed under the name Salmo salar (Atlantic salmon). RNAcentral describes it as "lncRNA (ENSSSAG00000121765.1)". Lineage: Eukaryota; Metazoa; Chordata; Actinopteri; Salmoniformes; Salmonidae. The record is from RNAcentral.
UGAAUUUCCAGCCUUGUUAGCAAUCCCGGCUCGGGGUUCAUUGCUAACCAGAAGCCCCAACAGGUUGAAAUGCAUUCCAGGUGACUACCUCAUGAAGCUGGUUGAGAUAAUGCCAACCAAGGCAAAGGGUGGCUACUUAGAACAAUCUCAAAUAUAUUUUGAUUUGUUUGAAACUUUUUUGGUUACUAAAUUAUUCCAUAUGUGUUAUUUAAUAAUUUUGAUGUCUUCAAUAUUAUUCUACAAGGUAGAAAGUUGUAUAAAUAAAGAAAAACAUUGGAAUGAAUCGGUGCGUCUAAACUUUUGACUGGUACUGUAAAUGGAAAGAUCAUGUCAUAAAUGUUGAAAUAAAGUGUAAGAAGGUGCUGAAUCUUAUGAGCUCGGCCUCUGGUUAUGAAUGGGGUGCUGACAGACAAUCGUUGAAAGAUAUUUAUAGAGUUCGAAUCAGGACGACAAUUGAUUACGGGUAAAUAGUUUAUGGAAAAGCGGCAAAGACUUGGCUUCAGAAGCUGAAUCCAGUAAAUAGCUUAAAGGUGUCAUGCCUCUCCAGGCUG